RNAcentral lists this unclassified non-coding RNA (384 nucleotides) under uncultured Phycisphaeraceae bacterium. Its description in RNAcentral is "contains 16S-23S intergenic spacer region". The record is from RNAcentral. Lineage: Bacteria; Pseudomonadati; Planctomycetota; Phycisphaerae; Phycisphaerales; Phycisphaeraceae.
UCCGGUUUGACACCGGCAGUCCCGUUAGAGUCCUCAGCUUUACCUGUUAGCAACUAACGGCAGGGGUUUCGCUCGUUAAGGGACUUAACCCGACACUUCACAGCACGAGCUGACGACAGCCAUGCAGCACCUGUGCACGUUCCACGCAAAGCGCGUCACUUCCCUUUCAGGAAGCUAAUCCGUGCAUGUCAAACCCAGGAUAAGGUUCUUCGCGUUGCUUCGAAUUAAGCCACAUGCUCCACCGCUUGUGUGAGCCCCCGUCAAUUCCUUUGAGUUUUAGCCUUGCGACCGUACUCCCCAGGCGGUGCACUUAAUGCUUUUGCUUCGGCCGGGAUGGCGUCAAAACCUCCCCGACCUAGUGCACAACGUUUAGGGCGUGGACUA